Molecule: long non-coding RNA, 537 nt
Filed under: Homo sapiens (human)
Lineage: Eukaryota; Metazoa; Chordata; Mammalia; Primates; Hominidae
Description: HSALNT0115743
Source: RNAcentral
CCAGGACUACAGGCAUAUACCAUCACACCUGGCUAAUUUUUAAAUUUUUUGUAGAUAUGGGGUCUUGCCAUGUUACCCAGGUUGGUCUCGAACUCCUCGCCUCAAGUGAUCCUCCUGCCUUGGCCUCCCAAAAUGCUGAGAUUACAGACAUGAGCCACUGCACACAGCCAAAGCACUGCAUGGUCGAUGAGAAAGAAGAAUUUUAGCUACUGAAUGAAGAAGGAAUGACAGAAUUGGAACAUAACCAUUUCACAAGGAUUAAGGCAUUGAUGAUUAAUGGCUGCUAUAUCACAAAGAGAAAAUCAGACACAGGCUUCCUGGUGGAGGAACACACCACCACCCAUGAAACGGAAUCUAAUGAAGCUUCUAGAUCCAGCCACCGAGCUACAGAUGAAACACAGGGCAAAGGAACUGGCUAAACAACAUCACAGCGACAUGCUCAGCAAAAUCCGGGCUGGGGAGGAUGGCUGGACACACAGCUUCGUUUUUUUCAACAAAUAAAUUGCAAGGAGAUUAAAAAAAAGAAGUAGAGGGGAA